CACCCUUGAAAAUCAUUUUGUACACAUCAGACCAGAAUAACAGUACAGACUCAGUAUUUGUUUGCUAUUUAGAUCAAUAUAUUACAUUCCCAUAACGUUUUGCAGCAUAUUUAACCCUUCCAAGCUCUGGAGUUGAUAGUGUUGGUGUUGGACCCGUCCUCCCCCCCCUGCUGUGGAUCAGAUCAGAGGAAUGUGCCGAGUCACGACUCACCUGCCUGAUUCUCUGCAGUCUUCACCUCCCCUCCUGCACACACUGUUGCCACAACACACCUGUGUAUCUAUUGUCAAUACAUCCUACAGAGUGUGUUCGAGGCGGGACAGGUGGGAGAAGAGUGAUGAAUUCAAUCUAAAGAGACAAAGACCACAAAGCCAAGCAUCUGCGUACACAACGUGAUGCCGUGACAGCCAGGAAAUCAAGUUUAUUUAUUCAUUUGUCGUAGUCGUGAUUAUUUAAUGGAAACUCAAUGAGCUGCUGAACAAUGGUGGCUCCCGUUUGAUGAAUAAUUCUGACAGGCGUCUGAGAUUCUGCAGUUCCAUCCCUGCUGUAUUGAUUAAUUUCUGCAGUGUCACAGUAGUGGAGAAUUGUGCAAACAUUCAUCUCCAGUGCCGCUGGAUUGUUUCGAUUUGUUGAUGAAGUGAUUGCAUCCUUACAAACUCCGACACCGUCAAAACACUCUCACAGUUAAGUCGAUGCCUCUCUGAAAGCUCUUUGUCUCAUUUCUAAAACACUGGCAGAGGGAAGCACAUUAUGAGCAGCAGACUGACUGAUUGUGUGCAGGCCGUAAUGGCUCAGGUAUUGUCUGGGCUGCCUCUAACUUUUUAGAGCAGCAGUUUUGAGCGUCAGCUUAAUAAUGCUGACAAUCCAUAGUCACCUCACCGGCUGGCUGCUGUGCAGAGAGGCAGAGUCAGGCCCCUUCUGGUGGAGAGGCAUGGGACCUUAUUUCAGGCCCAGAGACAAAUUGUGUUUUUGAACCCAUUUGAAUUGUGUCAUUAACCACACAACAGGUGUUUGUCAGUUUAAAAGAUGGGUUUUCAACUGGAGAAGUGUCUCAGUUUGUCCUAAAACUAAUAAAAUAUGUAAUUAUAAAGAUGACACAGCCAACAGUCGUGUUAGUAACUUAGGCUCCCACAUAUUCGCUGGCUCGUGAAACUUACUAACUCUCCUCUGAGAGUGCUGCAGCUGUCAAUGUGUCCACACUUGUUGUCAUUUUCACCUUAUAAUACUUCCUCUGUGCCUGAGGGGACGGCCAUGUUCGUUUUGUUGACGUAUGUUGAGCGAGACGGCUUAGUUCACUGAACAGAUUAACAUAAAACCAGAUGAUAUUUUACGAUCUUUAUAACAAGCAGCGACUUUAUUGACUUGCAAAAUGUCACGUCACGUCAACGUCUGUAACCACUCGCAGAGUUUGUUGCUGGAGCCAAUCCCAGCUGUCUCCGGGCGAGGGCAGGGUACACCCUGGACAAGUCGCCAGCUCAUCACAGGGCCCUCAAGAGCAAUUUGGGGUUCAGUAUCUUGCUCAAGGACACUUCAACAUGCAGCUCAGCAUGAUUUGAAACAGCGCCCUUCUGAUCACUAGCCAACCUGCUCUCCCCACUGAGCUACAGCCGCCCCGACGUGCAAAAUAACCUUUAAAUUGUUUUUAUGUUGUUAUUGUGUUAUUGUUAUUCUAUUUACUUAAAUUUCUGCUUUUUUAAGCACAUUAAAUCUGUGCCUGUCAUGAAAUGUGCUAUAUAGAUAAACUUGAUUUGAUUUGGA
This is a long non-coding RNA of Acanthopagrus latus (yellowfin seabream), 1756 nucleotides long. RefSeq lists it as uncharacterized. The record is from RefSeq and is a predicted model, not a curated record. The transcript is spliced from 2 exons. Lineage: Eukaryota; Metazoa; Chordata; Actinopteri; Spariformes; Sparidae.